AUAACAAUACCGGGCUCUAUGAGUCUGGUAAUUGGAAUGAGUACAAUCUAAAUCCCUUAAAGAGGAUCCAUUGGAGGGCAAGUCUGGUGCCAGCAGCCGCGGUAAUUCCAGCUCCAA
Molecule: non-coding RNA, 117 nt
Filed under: Gossypium hirsutum (cotton)
Lineage: Eukaryota; Viridiplantae; Streptophyta; Magnoliopsida; Malvales; Malvaceae
Description: Eukaryotic small subunit ribosomal RNA
Rfam family: Eukaryotic small subunit ribosomal RNA
Source: Rfam by way of RNAcentral